UACGGAGGGUGCAAGCGUUAUCCGGAUUUACUGGGUUUAAAGGGUGCGUAGGUGGUGAGGUAAGUCGGAUGUGAAAUCUCCGAGCUCAACUCGGAAAUGGCAUUGGAAACUACCUUGCUCGAGGGUUGGAGGGGGGACUGGAAUGCUUGGUGUAGCAGUGAAAUGCGUAGAUAUCAAGCGGAACACCAGUGGCGAAGGCGAGUCCCUGGACAACUCCUGACACUGAGGCACGAAAGCUAGGGGAGCAAACAGG
This 253-nucleotide ribosomal RNA is filed under the name uncultured bacterium. RNAcentral describes it as "partial 16S ribosomal RNA". It matches the Rfam family "Bacterial small subunit ribosomal RNA", at positions 524 to 776 of the family's 1533-position model. The record is from RNAcentral.